GGGCACCUGGGGUGUUCCAAAUGAAAGUGGUUAUGUGAAUCCUUUCAGGAAGGGCCCUUCCAUAAGUCUAUUAGCGAAGGAUCCAUGCGAUGGUCAUUUCAAAGAUGUCAUUUUAUUGUUUAUUGUCAUGUGAUCCUGGGAGGCAUCUGUCCACUAAAUCCAGUUGGGAGGAUGGUGAUCGUAAGGGCUUUCUUGAUGAAGGUUGCAUGAAGAUCUUGAGAAAAAUGCAACAAUAUAAUUCUCACCACCUUGGAUUAGAAAGAAACAACCAGAGAACUGCAAAUAUGUGCUCCAAACAACACGUGGCUCAGAAUUUCAAAACCCUUACAUUCUAGGAGGCAUAUCUGCAGCUGCAAGCCGCUGACAAACUCCAUCUUGUACAUCUGAGCCUGCAGAGAAGGGCGAGAGCGGUGAUAGAAUAUUGAUGCUCCUCUGGCAUGGGCCUCAUUCAAACCAAAUAGCUUUAUGUUAUUGUGACUGAUACAAUUUCACCGCGUGUACCUGCAUUAAAUUGACAUUCCCAAC
Molecule: long non-coding RNA, 525 nt
Organism: Cyprinus carpio carpio
Lineage: Eukaryota; Metazoa; Chordata; Actinopteri; Cypriniformes; Cyprinidae
Source: Ensembl